CAGCUCAAAUUUGAAAUCUGGCUCUCGGGCCCGAGUUGUAAUUUGUAGAGGAUACUUUUGAUGCGGUGCCUUCCGAGUUCCCUGGAACGGGACGCCAUAGAGGGUGAGAGCCCCGUCUGGUUGGAUGCCAAAUCUCUGUAAAGUUCCUUCAACGAGUCGAGUAGUUUGGGAAUGCUGCUCUAAAUGGGAGGUAUAUGUCUUCUAAAGCUAAAUACCGGCCAGAGACCGAUAGCGCACAAGUAGAGUGAUCGAAAGAUGAAAAGCACUUUGAAAAGAGAGUUAAAAAGUACGUGAAAUUGUUGAAAGGGAAGCGUUUAUGACCAGACUUGGGCUUGGUUAAUCAUCUGGGGUUCUCCCCAGUGCACUUUUCCAGUCCAGGCCAGCAUCAGUUUUCCCCGGGGGAUAAAGGCGGCGGGAAUGUGGCUCUCUUCGGGGAGUGUUAUAGCCCACCGUGUAAUACCCUGGGGGGGACUGAGGUUCGCGCAUCUGCAAGGAUGCUGGCGUAAUGGUCAUCAACGACCCGUCUUGAAACACGGACCAAGGAGUCGUCUUCGUAUGCGAGUGU
RNAcentral lists this ribosomal RNA (565 nucleotides) under Diplodia corticola. Its description in RNAcentral is "partial large subunit ribosomal RNA". It matches the Rfam family "Eukaryotic large subunit ribosomal RNA", at positions 104 to 693 of the family's 3401-position model. The record is from RNAcentral. Lineage: Eukaryota; Fungi; Ascomycota; Dothideomycetes; Botryosphaeriales; Botryosphaeriaceae.